AUACGUAGGUGACAAGCGUUAUCCGGAUUUACUGGGCGUAAAGGGCGUGUAGGCGGUCUUGCAAGUCAGAAGUGAAAUUCCUGAGCUCAACUCGGGCGCUGCUUCUGAAACUGCAGGCCUUGAGUGCUGGAGGGGCUAGCGGCAUUCCAAGUGGAGCGGUAAAAUGCGCAGAUAUUAGGAAGAACACCGGUGGCGAAGGCGGCUAUCUGGACAGUAACUGACGCUGAGGCGCGAAAGCGUGGGGAGCAAACAGGAUUAGAUCCCCUGGUAGUCCACGCCGUAAACGAUGAAUACUAGGUGUAGGGGGUAUCGACUCCCUCUGUGCCGCAGUUAACACAAUAAGUAUUCCGCCUGGGGAGUACGGCCGCAAGGUUGAAACUCAAAUGAAUUGACGGGG
RNAcentral lists this ribosomal RNA (397 nucleotides) under uncultured bacterium. Its description in RNAcentral is "partial 16S ribosomal RNA". It matches the Rfam family "Bacterial small subunit ribosomal RNA", at positions 523 to 918 of the family's 1533-position model. The record is from RNAcentral.